GUACUGUUGAAAAAUCCCACAAUAGGACGAAAUGGCCGUCCAGUAC
Non-coding RNA from Schistosoma haematobium, 46 nucleotides. The record is from Rfam. NCBI's taxonomy places the organism in Eukaryota, Metazoa, Platyhelminthes, Trematoda, Strigeidida, Schistosomatidae.